RNAcentral lists this ribosomal RNA (244 nucleotides) under uncultured bacterium. RNAcentral describes it as "partial 16S ribosomal RNA". It matches the Rfam family "Bacterial small subunit ribosomal RNA", at positions 28 to 280 of the family's 1533-position model. The record is from RNAcentral.
GAUGAACGCUAGCGGCAGGCUUAGCACAUGCAAGUCGAGGGGUAUAGUAGCAAUACUAGAGACCGGCGCACGGGUGCGUAACGCGUAUGCAAUCUACCUUUUACAGAGGGAUAGCCCAGAGAAAUUUGGAUUAAUACCUCAUAGUAUAACGACCUGGCAUCAGGAUGUUAUUAAAGUCACAACGGUAAAGAUGAGCAUGCGUCCCAUUAGCUUGGGUAAGGUAACGGCUUACCAAGGCUACGAU